RNAcentral lists this ribosomal RNA (169 nucleotides) under Mola mola (ocean sunfish). RNAcentral describes it as "partial 28S ribosomal RNA". Lineage: Eukaryota; Metazoa; Chordata; Actinopteri; Tetraodontiformes; Molidae. The record is from RNAcentral.
CAGAAUCCCGCCUAGAAGUAACGAUACCCUAGUGCCGCGGAGCUUCGGUUGGUCUCGGAUAGCCGGCUUCGGUCGGCGAGGAGAGCCGCUCGUGACUGGGCUGGGGCGCGGCCGGACGAUGGCCGCCCCUCUCCUGUCUCGCACCGCAUGUUUGUGGAGAACCUGGUGC